UAAUACGUAGGGGGCAAGCGUUGUCCGGAAUUAUUGGGCGUAAAGAGCGUGUAGGCGGUAAAUUAAGUUGGAUGUAAAAGGCAUGGGCUCAACCUGUGUAAGCAUCCAAAACUGAUAUACUUGAGUGCAGGAGAGGAAAGUGGAAUUCCCGGUGUAGCGGUGGAAUGCGUAGAGAUCGGGAGGAACACCAGUGGCGAAGGCGACUUUCUGGCCUGUAACUGACGCUGAGACGCGAAAGCGUGGGUAGCAAACAGG
RNAcentral lists this ribosomal RNA (255 nucleotides) under uncultured bacterium. RNAcentral describes it as "partial 16S ribosomal RNA". It matches the Rfam family "Bacterial small subunit ribosomal RNA", at positions 521 to 776 of the family's 1533-position model. The record is from RNAcentral.